Molecule: ribosomal RNA, 301 nt
Filed under: uncultured bacterium
Lineage: Bacteria
Description: partial 16S ribosomal RNA
Rfam family: Bacterial small subunit ribosomal RNA
Source: RNAcentral
CAGCAGCCACGGGAAUACGUAGGGUGCGAGCGUUAAUCGGAAUUACUGGGCGUAAAGCGAGCGCAGACGGUUAUUUAAGCAGGAUGUGAAAUCCCCGGGCUUAACCUGGGAACUGCGUUCUGAACUGGAUAGCUAGAGUGUGUCAGAGGGGGGUAGAAUUCCACGUGUAGCAGUGAAAUGCGUAGAGAUGUGGAGGGAUACCGAUGGCGAAGGCAGCCCCCUGGGAUAACACUGACGUUCAUGCUCGAAAGCGUGGGUAGCAAACAGGAUUAGAUACCCCUGUAGUCCCUGUCUCUUAUAC